Molecule: transfer RNA, 72 nt
Filed under: Ovis aries (sheep)
Lineage: Eukaryota; Metazoa; Chordata; Mammalia; Artiodactyla; Bovidae
Rfam family: tRNA
About the family: Transfer RNA (tRNA) molecules are approximately 80 nucleotides in length.
Source: Rfam by way of RNAcentral
UCCCGGGUGACUCAGUGCUAAAGAAUCUGCCUGCUAAUGCAGGAGACACGGGUUCGAUCCCCGGUCUGGGAA